This 460-nucleotide ribosomal RNA is filed under the name uncultured bacterium. Its description in RNAcentral is "partial 16S ribosomal RNA". It matches the Rfam family "Bacterial small subunit ribosomal RNA", at positions 338 to 795 of the family's 1533-position model. The record is from RNAcentral.
CCUACGGGUGGCAGCAGUGAGGAAUAUUGGUCAAUGGUCGGGAGACUGAACCAGCCAAGCCGCGUGAGGGAUGAAGGUACAGAGUAUCGUAAACCUCUUUUGUCAGGGAACAAAGGCGGGGACGUGUCCCCGGAUGAGUGUACCUGAAGAAAAAGCAUCGGCUAACUCCGUGCCAGCCGCCGCGGUAAUACGGAGGAUGCGAGCGUUCUCCGGAUUUAUUGGGUUUAAAGGGUGGGGAGGCGGGCCGGUAAGUCAGCGGUCAAACGCCGGGGCCCAACCCCGGGCCCGCCGUGGAAACUGGCAGUCUCGAGUUGGAGAGAGGUAUGCGGAAUGCGCGGUGUAGCGGUGAAAUGCAUAGAUAUCGCGCAGAACACCGAUUGCGAAGGCAGCAUGCCGGCUCCACACUGACGCUGAGGCACGAAAGCGUGGGUAUCGAACAGGAUUAGAUACCCUUGUAGUC